GACGGGGACCCGCACAAGCGGUAGAUGAUGUGGAUUAAUUCGAUGCAACGCGAAAAACCUUACCUACCCUUGACAUGUACGGAACCCUGCUGAGAGGUGGGGGUGCUCGAAAGAGAGCCGUAACACAGGUGCUGCAUGGCUGUCGUCAGCUCGUGUCGUGAGAUGUUGGGUUAAGUCCCGCAACGAGCGCAACCCUUGUCAUUAGUUGCUACGCAAGAGCACUCUAAUGAGACUGCCGGUGACAAACCGGAGGAAGGUGGGGAUGACGUCAAGUCCUCAUGGCCCUUAUGGGUAGGGCUUCACACGUCAUACAAUGGUCGGUACAGAGGGUUGCCAAGCCGCGAGGUGGAGCCAAUCCCAGAAAGCCGAUCGUAGUCCGGAUCGCAGUCUGCAACUCGACUGCGUGAAGUCGGAAUCGCUAGUAAUCGCGGAUCCAGCAUGCCGCGGUGAAUACGUUCCGGGUCUU
RNAcentral lists this ribosomal RNA (466 nucleotides) under uncultured Methyloversatilis sp. Its description in RNAcentral is "bacterial SSU rRNA". It matches the Rfam family "Bacterial small subunit ribosomal RNA", at positions 912 to 1382 of the family's 1533-position model. The record is from RNAcentral. Lineage: Bacteria; Pseudomonadati; Pseudomonadota; Betaproteobacteria; Nitrosomonadales; Sterolibacteriaceae.